Molecule: unclassified non-coding RNA, 246 nt
Filed under: Hevea brasiliensis (rubber tree)
Lineage: Eukaryota; Viridiplantae; Streptophyta; Magnoliopsida; Malpighiales; Euphorbiaceae
Source: RNAcentral
AUAUCCAGACCUCCACUGCCACCGCUUAUUUAGGUUCCGAACUCCCCCAAAACGUGAAUCCAUCAAUGUUCUUCACGUUUAACAGGAAUGGCAGCGCGUAAACAACGACGCAGACGGAAAGCAGCAGCACCAGUAUGCGUACAAGUGCAGGCUUUUCCUUGUCGUCUUCUUUCUUUCUCUCGACCAACAGUGCGCCUAGUACUGUUCCAGCUUUGAGGCAGACACGUUUCGUCCUUGUGGCUGCGG